RNAcentral lists this long non-coding RNA (4484 nucleotides) under Triticum aestivum (bread wheat). RNAcentral describes it as "long non-coding RNA (TAES_LNC016257)". The stretch from base 1076 to 1200 matches the Rfam family "MIR1120/MIR1122 microRNA precursor family". Lineage: Eukaryota; Viridiplantae; Streptophyta; Magnoliopsida; Poales; Poaceae. The record is from RNAcentral.
GGCAGCAGCUUUACCACUGCGCCAAGGCUCCCCUUCAUGCUGUACAAUACAUAUUAGAAAACCAGAAGAUGAUAUAUUGUUUCAAAGGGAGAUGACAGUGAACACACUUGUUGUAGCUUUAUUGCUAUUUGCUAAGCUUAGUUUGCAGGAUGUGUAUACAGAAUCAACCAACCGCUUGUCUGUCGACACAAACAAAACAGACACAUCAUCUACUACCAUACCCUUGCUAAGGUUGGAGCUUCAUUUGAAGAAGGGGAGGCCUAUAGAGCAAAAACGGGAUCAUCGUCCUUAUGCUUUAACCAAGUCCUUUUUCUGUGAAAAAAUGAAACAGUGAAAAGCUAGAUCAGCAAGCAAAGAAAGAACAAGGAAAAAAGCAAGGCACAUCCAAAACAGAGAAACCCAAGGUAGGGCGCAAACCAAUGUGAUAGGAAUUUGUGAAGCUACACCAGAAGAAAUAAAUACAUGCAAGCUUCACAACAGCCCAUGGAUUUGAUAUACCGAUCAAAAAGUGGUUAUAUUUAUGCAUCCACUCACAACCAUUGGCGAGACCUAGGUACAGAACCAUCAUGACACGAAAGGGGAAACUCAAAUCUAAAAAGAAGUAACGUGAUUUGAAAAGGCAGUUAAUACCAGAGUACCACUUCUCGUACUCAAAUUGAAAAACCAGCACAACUGACUAUUACACAACCACCUGUCAGACUCACUGCACUAUUUUGUAACUAUGGGUAAGUUUAAGAUCCACCAACUUGUAACGCCAAAACAAAACGAAUUUUAGAGUACCACUUCAAGCAGAAGCAAAGGAUGGAAUCCAAAUCAGAGAAGGAAAAAUGGUGUGGACCCAAAGAGAAGAACCCUUGCAAGCAUUUCAGGGGCAAAUAAAUAUAGGCCUGGAAAAGCGGUAGAAGCCCAGCGUGCAGGAGACACAACAUACCUGAUGCACAAGGUCACUAUACUGAUGGCACUCGUGUUAAUAGGAGUAUCUUCGUGUGUAUGGCAUAUCCUUGUUAUGACAUCAAUAAUCAAUGACAAACUACAUAAGCUUCCUGAAAUUGAUGAUAUGAUGAAAUCAGUUUGGGUAGUACUCCCUCCGUCCGGAAAUACUUGUCGUAGAAAUGGAUGAAAAUGAAUGCAUUUAGAACAAAAAUACGUCUAGAUACAUCCAUCUCUCCGACGAGUAUUUCCGAACGGAGGGAGUACUACAGUAGGCAAUCACACCAUAACUGAAUUUAUCACAAACAGAAAACAUUGUUUGGUACUCCCUCCUUCCAAAAAAUUUGGGCAUAUUAGAUUUUACAUGCAGUCCCAUAAUGCAGGGUGUGUAGUUAGCUACGUUUUUGGAAAUAAAAAAGGCGGUCGGUCCUCUGGUGCCGUUAGCACCCAAAUCGUGCAUGCCUUCCUUUUUUUUCUCCAAUUGUGGAUGGCUCCCUCGUACGAUGGCUCACGUAACUACCAGUGCGCUAAUUUUCGUGCUAAUACCUAAUACGCCCAAGAUUUUGGGAAGUAGGGAGUACUUGAUAGUGCUCCCAAGUUGGUGUAAUCAAGCAAGUACAUGGAUGAGCUCUUGCAAUAUUUUCUCUAAAAAAUUCAUAUACAAUUAUAUAAUCACGAAAAUGCAUGUUUAUCAAUAAAUCAACAUUACGUCAUACUUGUUCCUCUUGCAACUGAAUUCCAUAUGAAUUAUUCUCUUACAACAUAUCAAGGCAACAUAGUCUAUCAGGCAUAUGAGAGUGGCAUUCUCGUAAUCAACUAAGCACAAGGUUGAGCUCUUGUAAAUAUGAUACAUUGUCACUGACAGCGUGUGAAUAUUCCAUGAGAAGCUACAACUAUUGCAUGAGGUAAUCAACUAACACAGAUACUCAGCCAUUCCAGUUAUAAAAUAUAUCUCACGAGAUCUACACUUCCACAUGCAUAUAGAAAUAUAUGUCUAACCACAGAAAAUGUACGCACCAGUUUAGCCUACACAGAGUAAUAGUAAGUUACUAACAACAAAGAAUAACAGAGUAAAAAAAAAUCAAGAUCUAGCAUCAACCAUUAGUCCUUAAAGGUUUAAUUACUAAACAUUAAAAAUAUAGAGUUUGAAAUGAUUAGAUAACAAGUUAGUCCAAAACAGGGGGAAAAUAUUACACUUUCACGGCAUGAUAGUCUAUGUAUACAGAAGGACCUAUUAGUUUCUAGAUAACAGAGCACGAAUUUAAAUGAAAGAAUUAUAUGAUUCGCCUGUCACUGAAUAAAAAAGAUCACAUCUGGAUAAACACCUUAAAAUGUCUCUAAAUCAGGUCGUUUAGAGAAGAAUAAAAUCUUGCGCUACUGCGGAUAUAUUUAAUCUAGCACUGACCCUGGUCAGACAUGAAAAUCCUCUCAAAAUCCCCAUAUGUUGAGUUUCAGAAGUAACAAAGAAAGAGGCCUGCAAAGGCAGAAAAAUCCACAACAAAAAAACUAAUCUUCUGUACCUAACGCCAAAGAAAUAACACAGAUCAUUAGAUUAAUCAACCUUUGCCCUGAAUAACAAAGUUCAUCAGAAGCCCAUGCUGAAAAAGUGAAGAAUUCAUCUAAAAAACAAAAAAAUCAAGAAUACUCAAAUAUUUGCCCAAUCAUGGUAACACAAAAAGUGCAAGCAACAUUUCAAAACAGAAAGUGCAUAUCUAGCAACCAUGGUUUUUAACUUCACGCAGAUCUACAUGUAUAAGACUGAAAAACAAAUAUAACUCCCCUUUAAAUUUUCAAAUAGCAUGGAGAGCAAUGUAACAUAUCAUACUUAUAGAUAUAGAUAAGUACGAGAAGCACCUGACUAAUGAGUUCCACGACCAUUGUUCUUGCAAUCUCUAUUUGAUUCCAAUUCCCACUAAGUUGUAUUUUUCUUUCUGUGGAAAGAUCACCUUCGGGGAGAUGAUGCGGGAUUAACUACAAAAAAGAAUAUUAUUUUUCAUUUUGAAAUGAAUAAAAACAUCCAUGCAUAUAAUCAUAGCACUAACCUGAAUGCCAGCCCCAGACUUAGUUUCUAAAACUCAAUGGUCUCACCUCCCUCCCCAAUGAGCAUCCGAGCCUACAUAUUAUGAUAAAAGGAAAUAUAUCAGAGAUCUUAAGUAUGUUUUAUAGCCGAGAUAUUUUUUAAGGAUGACCUUCUCAUUUGGGGAUGGAUAAAGACAUCCAUGCAUAUAGUCAUAGCACUAUCCUGAAUGCCAGCCCCAGACUUAGUUUCUAAAAGCUCAAUGGUCUCACCUCCCUCCCCAAUGAGCAACCCAGCCUACAUAUUAUGAUAAAAGGAAAUAUAUCAGACAACUUAAGUAUGUUUUAUAGCUGAGAUAUUUCUUUAAGGAUGACCUUCUCAUUUGGGACAUGGAUGUCCACUUGCUCAGCAUCAGAUUGUGAAGUCCCAAAUCUUCUAGCGGUAGUGUAGAUGAAUCACCUACAUCAACCAAAGAAAGGAUAUGAUUUAAUUUGGAUCAGCUUCGUCCUAUUCCACAAUCUGGAUUUUAGCAUCUGAGGUGAUCUGCAGGCAUCUGAUAGUUUCUGCAGAUUUACCAAUCAAAACACCCACAUACAAUACACUUCUUCCACAGUUAGCUGACAGCUUAGCUAAACAAAAAUAGAAAACUGGUCUGAAAGUGGAUGUCAGCAAGUCGGUUCUGACUUCUGAGACUAAUAUGAAGUGCACGUACUCCACAACCUCUACUACCUUAGUACAUUGCAAGUUAAACAAAGACAAACCAUGAUUUUAUAAUCUGAAGCAGCCACUUCUGGCUCGUUCAUACCCAGGAAGAGAUGUUCUUGGACCUGUUAUUAGUAGAAGAUGGUGGAGGCUUACUUUGGCUGGUGUGGGCGAGUGGCUGCGACGUUCCUCGGCGGCGACAGAAACGCAAAGGUGGGGCUCCAUUCGCUGGCCACAGACUUUCUCAUCCCAUCCUCUAUGGUCGGGCUGGUGAAGAGAGAGCAGACGAGGCGAGUGAGGCCGACGACGGCGAAUGGCCCCUGGCCGACGGCGCCGUCCCCACGGAUGUUCCCCGCGCUAGGAUUGCUCACCUGCUCCUUCCCCGCUGUUGCUUGCCUUCCUCGCCGGCCUCCUCCUUCACCUUGUCGUCCGCAUCCUACCCCUCCCCUACAUCCUCACCCGCAUCGAGAAGACCCCGCCACCGCUACUCUCCCACAACGAUGACCUACAUCCGAUCUGGAUCGACGGUGACAUGGAAGCGGACAGGAAGAGGCAAGCAGUGGAGAAGGCCGGCGGUGGGAUCGACGACGACAUGGUAGAGGAGAGGAGUAGGCGAGUGGAGAGACGAGGCCGGCGGCUGCGGGCGAGGAGAGGAUCGUGGGGAUCGAGGGAGAGGUGCGGCGGCUGUGGAGAUUGGGGAGGGAGGGGUGCGGCGGCUCGUGGGGAUCGAGGGAAGGGAGAAAGCGGGCUAGGGUUCGUUUGGCGGCUGGGGUGGGAGUGGGGCGAGACGCGGGUGAUUGGGUGCGGGCGCCACGAGCUGAUGGGGCAAAACCAC